UUAACACAUGCAAGUCGAACGAUGAAGCCCUUCGGGGUGGAUUAGUGGCGAACGGGUGAGUAACACGUGGGCAAUCUGCCCUUCACUCUGGGACAAGCCCUGGAAACGGGGUCUAAUACCGGAUAAUACUCCUGCCUGCAUGGGUGGGGGUUGAAAGCUCCGGCGGUGAAGGAUGAGCCCGCGGCCUAUCAGCUUGUUGGUGGGGUAAUGGCCCACCAAGGCGACGACGGGUAGCCGGCCUGAGAGGGCGACCGGCCACACUGGGACUGAGACACGGCCCAGACUCCUACGGGAGGCAGCAGUGGGGAAUAUUGCACAAUGGGCGAAAGCCUGAUGCAGCGACGCCGCGUGAGGGAUGACGGCCUUCGGGUUGUAAACCUCUUUCAGCAGGGAAGAAGCGAAAGUGACGGUACCUGCAGAAGAAGCGCCGGCUAACUACGUGCCAGCAGCCGCGGUAAUACGUAGGGCGCAAGCGUUGUCCGGAAUUAUUGGGCGUAAAGAGCUCGUAGGCGGCUUGUCACGUCGGAUGUGAAAGCCCGAGGCUUAACCUCGGGUCUGCAUUCGAUACGGGCUAGCUAGAGUGUGGUAGGGGAGAUCGGAAUUCCUGGUGUAGCGGUGAAAUGCGCAGAUAUCAGGAGGAACACCGGUGGCGAAGGCGGAUCUCUGGGCCAUUACUGACGCUGAGGAGCGAAAGCGUGGGGAGCGAACAGGAUUAGAUACCCUGGUAGUCCACGCCGUAAACGUUGGGAACUAGGUGUUGGCGACAUUCCACGUCGUCGGUGCCGCAGCUAACGCAUUAAGUUCCCCGCCUGGGGAGUACGGCCGCAAGGCU
Molecule: ribosomal RNA, 832 nt
Filed under: Streptomyces vinaceus
Lineage: Bacteria; Bacillati; Actinomycetota; Actinomycetes; Kitasatosporales; Streptomycetaceae
Description: bacterial SSU rRNA
Rfam family: Bacterial small subunit ribosomal RNA
Source: RNAcentral